UUCCAAAGUGUCGAGUUCAGCACAGGGCAGCUUCUCUGUUCUGUUAAACUUUGGAACACUGAAAUACGACGCAAGUGAUAAUUGGGUAAAAAA
This 93-nucleotide small nucleolar RNA is filed under the name Octodon degus (degu). The record is from RNAcentral. Lineage: Eukaryota; Metazoa; Chordata; Mammalia; Rodentia; Octodontidae.